GUUCCUAGUCCACUGCCUGCCGCCAAAUGGGGCCCUCCAAGGGCCGGGCAGGGGGUCAGAGCAUCCUUCCUUUGUUUUCCAAGUGAGCACUUCGUCUCGUCAGGUGGCUGCGCUCCCCUGAGGGUCGAGGCAGUAAAACUCGCGGCGGAACCUGGCUGGGACGUUGGCUCGAUUCGACCACAAGGGCUUGGAAGCGACCUGGAGGAGCGAGCGGUUUUCCUUAUUGGUCUUGCCACACAACUGAACUGAGCAGAAGCAUCACUGGAAACAGCCCCAGGUGCCUCCCAGCGGCUUAUUCUCGUUUCUGAGCACACCCCACCUUCUUGGAGCUGUGAGACCCCCCCAUGCCCAGGUCCCAGAAGGCAAGCGCGGGCCAAGGAGGCAUGCACAGCCCUUGUGGGUCUGGGCCUCGCAAUGGAGCUAACAUUCUUUUUUAUCAACUAUGCAUUUUCCAGACCAUGAGCAAGCAGCGUCUGGGCCCGGAGAACCGGCUUCCUUUUUUAAGAGACGAUGUGGAACCCUUUCUCGGUUGUGGUUUAUGGUUCGUAUUUAAUUUGUUGGGAGGUGUUUUUUUUAAAUGAAUUUCCAACAGAAGUCUUCCUGUGCGACAAAGGAUUCCCGCAGAGCAGAGCGAGGGCAGCUCCCGGCUGCCCCGGCACGCACGCCAACCGGCCUGGGCGGCUCGAUCCAACGCAGGGGAGGUGCUGUGCCUGGGACGAGUUCCUCUCAGCAUUUGGAAGAAGGGGAAACCUCUGAAGCUUGCAAAGCCCGGCGCCCGGGGCGGGAUCGUCCUGCACAAGCAAUAAUAACCCAACCCGACAGUCCCUUCCGGCCGUACGGGUCUGUGCAGGCACGAAUGCCACCCCAUUGGCGCUGAGCGGUAUUUCACCAAAGCACGCUGGCGUUCGAAGCCAGAGACCAGGCUGCUGGUUGUGACGGCAGCAGAAAGGGGAAGCGCAGCCCCUGUGAGUUAUGGCCAGGCCUCCGAAGGCUCCGAGCCUAGCUAGCUGGCUCGCGUGUAUGCGUCUCUCCCGGGCUACACAGGGCUCUCGUGUGCAUUCGCACAGGCUACCUGCUUUUAGGCUGGGCCUGGCAGCAAAUUCUGCCAUGUUGGCAGGAGGCUGGGAGCUCUUCCGGGGGAGAGCCCGUCCCUACAUCUCGAGAGGCGCGGACAAAAUCUCCACGGGAGACUCCACCACGCAGCGCAGCCAAUGGUUGCUCCCUCCCAGGCUCACUGAGGGAAGAGGGGAUGGAGGACUGGCGCCCAUCUCUUCAUUUGUUUUGAAAUCAUGUCAUUUCCACUUUUUUUUUAAAUGGAAGAAUAAAGACGUCAAAUCUUUUAGAGCAAAUUUGCAAACCUGGGUACUCCCCACUGAGGCAGCUACACCCCCCGAGCCAGGGGCUGUGCAUGGCACUGGGGAAUCUCCGCUCGCUCUGUUGCUGCAGAUGCAGCACUACAACUCAUCUGGCCCAUUAUAUGUGCAUUGCAGUAUGCAGACCUUGCACAAUCAUUUUCACAAGCAUGGGCCCGUGCAAACCAUUCCUAAGGGCAGCAGGAGUCACCGUGAACGGGACUGGGGGGUCAGGCGCCCUGGGUUGUUGGUGGGUGACCUUGGUGAACGCGUGUCCCCUCUGUAUAUGUGUGUCAGUUCUGCCUCUGGGACCCAGGGAUCAUGCCACGUAUCUGGGAGAAGCAGAACUGCUUGCAUGUUUGGGACUGAAUUUUGUAAUGGCUGUUGGAGAAAACCAAAGAUCGUGGCUUGUCUGUGCCUCGCGGGCACAAUAACAGGACAACAGGUCUCCUCGGGCCAUCGCCUCCGUCCAGGAGCUGAAGUGCGGAGUGGUGUUAUCAGUACAUUCAGCCCCAUGAAUGGCUCCUGGAGGAGGUGUUAACAAAGCCCAUGAUAAAUUGUAGGCAUAAAUAUACAUGCAAAUGAACACACAUGCGUGGCAUACAGAUACCAGCCCCUGUGCGAGUGCCCGCUCCUAUCCCAGCUGCUCUGUAUCAAGGACCUCAGGAAACUCUAUCCUUCCCCCCCGCCCACCAUCACGGACUUGCUCUGCCAGCGUUCCCACGAGAGAUGUUGGUUUCUUGGCUCCCCUGGUGGAUUAAAACAGGUCUCGGAUGCUGAGGCGCCCCCCAGGAAGGGGACUGGGAGGCCUGACGCCUCUCCCCUGGGGCAGGUGGGCGGCUUUUUGGGGGGCCCCCCUUUAUUUUCACGGGAUUUUUCCCUCUCCCCUUCCUCUUAAGCCCUUAUGUGUUCACUCUGGGUGCUGCGUCCCCUCAGGCAGCGGCAGCAGGGCUAGGCCGUGCCAUACACGCCUGCCCGGCAGCAGCUACCCCAGCGGCAAGGCCUGGGCAUGGGAAGGUGUCAAGGCUGGAUCCCCACUUUGAACUUUAGGGUACAAAUGUAGGGGCCUGCAUGAAAACUUCUAAGCUU
Molecule: long non-coding RNA, 2441 nt
Organism: Chrysemys picta bellii (western painted turtle)
Lineage: Eukaryota; Metazoa; Chordata; Testudines; Emydidae
Source: Ensembl